RNAcentral lists this ribosomal RNA (451 nucleotides) under uncultured bacterium. RNAcentral's name for it is "bacterial SSU rRNA". It matches the Rfam family "Bacterial small subunit ribosomal RNA", at positions 340 to 786 of the family's 1533-position model. The record is from RNAcentral.
UACGGAAGGCAGCAGGGGGAAUAUUGCACAAUGGGCGCAAGCCUGAUGCAGCCAUGCCGCGUGUAUGAAGAAGGCCUUCGGGUUGUAAAGUACUUUCAGUCGUGAGGAAGGUGUUAAGGUUAAUAACCUUAGCAAUUGACGUUAGCGACAGAAGAAGCACCGGCUAACUCCGUGCCAGCAGCCGCGGUAAUACGGAGGGUGCGAGCGUUAAUCGGAAUUACUGGGCGUAAAGGGCACGCAGGCGGUUAAUAAGUUGGAUGUGAAAUCCCCGGGCUUAACCUGGGAAUGGCAUUCAAGACUGGUUAGCUAGAGUCUUGUAGAGGGGGUAGAAUUCCAUGUGUAGCGGUGAAAUGCGUAGAGAUGUGGAGGAAUACCGGUGGCGAAGGCGGCCCCUGGACAAAGACUGACGCUCAUGUGCGAAAGCGUGGGGAGCAAACAGGGAUUAGAUACC